RNAcentral lists this ribosomal RNA (265 nucleotides) under uncultured Caulobacterales bacterium. Its description in RNAcentral is "partial 16S ribosomal RNA". It matches the Rfam family "Bacterial small subunit ribosomal RNA", at positions 505 to 769 of the family's 1533-position model. Lineage: Bacteria; Pseudomonadati; Pseudomonadota; Alphaproteobacteria; Caulobacterales. The record is from RNAcentral.
GUGCCAGCCGCCGCGGUAAUACGAAGGGGGCUAGCGUUGCUCGGAAUUACUGGGCGUAAAGGGAGCGUAGGCGGACAUUUAAGUCAGGGGUGAAAUCCCGGGGCUCAACCUCGGAAUUGCCUUUGAUACUGGGUGUCUUGGGUAUGAGAGAGGUGUGUGGAACUCCGAGUGUAGAGGUGAAAUUCGUAGAUAUUCGGAAGAACACCAGUGGCGAAGGCGACACACUGGCUCAUUACUGACGCUGAGGCUCGAAAGCGUGGGGAGC